CCUUCGGGACACGACGGAGACAGGUGGUGCAUGGUUGUCGUCAGCUCGUGUCGUGAGAUGUUGGGUUAAGUCCCGCAACGAGCGCAACCCUUAUCUUU
RNAcentral lists this ribosomal RNA (98 nucleotides) under uncultured bacterium. RNAcentral's name for it is "partial 16S ribosomal RNA". It matches the Rfam family "Bacterial small subunit ribosomal RNA", at positions 1017 to 1112 of the family's 1533-position model. The record is from RNAcentral.